CAGGAAUGCAAGUCGAACGAUGAUCCGGUGCUUGCACCGGGGAUUAGUGGCGAACGGGUGAGUAACACGUGAGUAACCUGCCCUUAACUCUGGGAUAAGCCUGGGAAACUGGGUCUAAUACCGGAUAUGACUCCUCAUCGCAUGGUGGGGGGUGGAAAGCUUUAUUGUGGUUUUGGAUGGACUCGCGGCCUAUCAGCUUGUUGGUGAGGUAAUGGCUCACCAAGGCGACGACGGGUAGCCGGCCUGAGAGGGUGACCGGCCACACUGGGACUGAGACACGGCCCAGACUCCUACGGGAGGCAGCAGUGGGGAAUAUUGCACAAUGGGCGCAAGCCUGAUGCAGCGACGCCGCGUGAGGGAUGACGGCCUUCGGGUUGUAAACCUCUUUCAGUAGGGAAGAAGCGAAAGUGACGGUACCUGCAGAAGAAGCGCCGGCUAACUACGUGCCAGCAGCCGCGGUAAUACGUAGGGCGCAAGCGUUAUCCGGAAUUAUUGGGCGUAAAGAGCUCGUAGGCGGUUUGUCGCGUCUGCCGUGAAAGUCCGGGGCUCAACUCCGGAUCUGCGGUGGGUACGGGCAGACUAGAGUGAUGUAGGGGAGACUGGAAUUCCUGGUGUAGCGGUGAAAUGCGCAGAUAUCAGGAGGAACACCGAUGGCGAAGGCAGGUCUCUGGGCAUUAACUGACGCUGAGGAGCGAAAGCAUGGGGAGCGAACAGGAUUAGAUACCCUGGUAGUCCAUGCCGUAAACGUUGGGCACUAAGGG
RNAcentral lists this ribosomal RNA (761 nucleotides) under Micrococcaceae bacterium. Its description in RNAcentral is "bacterial SSU rRNA". It matches the Rfam family "Bacterial small subunit ribosomal RNA", at positions 50 to 822 of the family's 1533-position model. Lineage: Bacteria; Bacillati; Actinomycetota; Actinomycetes; Micrococcales; Micrococcaceae. The record is from RNAcentral.